RNAcentral lists this long non-coding RNA (383 nucleotides) under Fukomys damarensis (Damara mole-rat). Its description in RNAcentral is "lncRNA (ENSFDAG00000031395.1)". The record is from RNAcentral. Lineage: Eukaryota; Metazoa; Chordata; Mammalia; Rodentia; Bathyergidae.
CACAUCUUGUUUCUGAUCAGACUCCACAAAGACACUCAGCCUCACAUCUACAAGAGAGUAGAGCUAGAAGAGAAGCAGACCAGUCAAAGGGAAAGAAAAUACCUCAGAGAUAAGAGCUUCAGUGGCAGAAUUCAGAAGCCGUAAAAGUAGCAAAAGGAAUGACCGUUGGAUGUGAAGUCUUCCUAAUAAUGGAAGAAGUGCCUUCUGUCCUCCUCCCAAAAGCCACUGGCCACUGAAGUGCUUCCGGGCCAGAUGAAACGUGCUACUGCAGCAAGAUUUGAGCACCUAGCCCAUCGAAUCUGGAGCUACCAAUCCUGAGGCCAUUGCUGUCACCCUUGCAAACUUCUGGGUAGAGGAAAAUACACUGGACUCUUCAACCCAUG